GACGAACGCUGGCGGCGUGCUUAACACAUGCAAGUCGAACGGAAAGGCCCUGCUUGCAGGGUGCUCGAGUGGCGAACGGGUGAGUAACACGUGGGUGAUCUGCCCCUUAUUUUGGGAUAAGCCUGGGAAACUGGGUCUAAUACUGGAUAGGACCAUGCUGUAGGUGGUGUGGUGGUAAGAUUAGUUUCGGUAAGGGAUGAGCUCGCGGCCUAUCAGCUUGUUGGUGGGGUAAUGGCCUACCAAGGCGUCGACGGGUAGCCGGCCUGGGAGGGUGGACGGCCACAUUGGGACUGGGAUACGGCCCAGACUCCUACGGGGGGCAGCAGUGGGGAAUAUUGCACAAUGGGGGCGAGCCUGAUGCAGCGACGCCGCGUGGGGGAUGACGGCCUUCGGGUUGUAAACUCCUUUCAGCCAUGACGAAGCCCUUGUGGUGACGGUAGUGGUAGAAGAGACACCGGCUAACUACGU
RNAcentral lists this ribosomal RNA (468 nucleotides) under uncultured bacterium. RNAcentral's name for it is "partial 16S ribosomal RNA". It matches the Rfam family "Bacterial small subunit ribosomal RNA", at positions 28 to 506 of the family's 1533-position model. The record is from RNAcentral.